This 307-nucleotide unclassified non-coding RNA is filed under the name plant metagenome. RNAcentral describes it as "partial contains 5.8S ribosomal RNA, internal transcribed spacer 2, and large subunit ribosomal RNA". The stretch from base 1 to 105 matches the Rfam family "5.8S ribosomal RNA", at positions 50 to 154 of the family's 154-position model. The record is from RNAcentral.
GAAAUGCGAUAAGUAAUGUGAAUUGCAGAAUUCAGUGAAUCAUCGAAUCUUUGAACGCACAUUGCGCCCGCCAGCACUCUGGCGGGCAUGCCUGUUCGAGAGUCAUUUCAACCCUCAGAACCCCUUGCGGGAUCUGGCGUUGGGGAUUGGCAUCCAGCCAGCCCCGAAAUCUAGUGGCGGUCCCUCCGCGACCUCCCCUGUGCAGUAGCGAUACCUCGCAGCGGGACAGCGGUCUGACCACGCCGUAAAACCCCCAACUUCUCAAGGUUGACCUCGAAUCAGGUAGGAAUACCCGCUGAACUUAAGC